RNAcentral lists this ribosomal RNA (462 nucleotides) under Vreelandella stevensii. RNAcentral describes it as "partial 16S ribosomal RNA". It matches the Rfam family "Bacterial small subunit ribosomal RNA", at positions 338 to 795 of the family's 1533-position model. Lineage: Bacteria; Pseudomonadati; Pseudomonadota; Gammaproteobacteria; Oceanospirillales; Halomonadaceae. The record is from RNAcentral.
CCUACGGGCGGCAGUGGGGAAUAUUGGACAAUGGGGGGAACCCUGAUCCAGCCAUGCCGCGUGUGUGAAGAAGGCCCUCGGGUUGUAAAGCACUUUCAGUGAGGAAGAACGCCUGGUGGUUAAUACCCAUCAGGAAAGACAUCACUCACAGAAGAAGCACCGGCUAACUCCGUGCCAGCAGCCGCGGUAAUACGGAGGGUGCGAGCGUUAAUCGGAAUUACUGGGCGUAAAGCGCGCGUAGGUGGCUUGAUAAGCCGGUUGUGAAAGCCCCGGGCUCAACCUGGGAACGGCAUCCGGAACUGUCAAGCUAGAGUGCAGGAGAGGAAGGUAGAAUUCCCGGUGUAGCGGUGAAAUGCGUAGAGAUCGGGAGGAAUACCAGUGGCGAAGGCGGCCUUCUGGACUGACACUGACACUGAGGUGCGAAAGCGUGGGUAGCAAACAGGAUUAGAUACCCCUGUAGUC